GGUUUACUGCUUCAGCUGCUGCAGCCUGGACACAAACACCAGCUCUCACCUGACAAACCAAACAGGUGUCUCCACUUCGUCUUCGUACAGUGAAGAAGUUCUUUGAGACCAGGACUGAGGCCUCCAGGAUUCAAACUGGAACCAUCACAGAGGGAAGAGACAGACAUGAAGAUGUUGUCAGGUCUUCAGCUGCUGUCGUCUUCUCCUCCUCCACAGACAACAACACGGAUUGAUCACACAAACUCAUCUGUCUUCAGCUGCUGUCGUCUUCUCCUCCUGCACAGACAACAACACGGAUUGAUCACACAAACUCAUCUGUCUUCAGCUGCUGUCGUCUUCUCCUCCUGCACAGACAACAACACGGAUUGAUCACACAAACUCAUCUGUCUUCAGCUGCUGUCGUCUUCUCCUCCUGCACAGACAACAACACGGAUUGAUCACACAAACUCAUCUGUCUUCAGCUGCUGUCGUCUUCUCCUCCUGCACAGACAACAACACGGAUUGAUCACACAAACUCAUCUGUAAGUCCAAACAGUUUUUACAUUUAGUGACUAGACUGACAGUUUGUGACAGUUUUAACACUUUACUGUACUGUGACAUUUAGUGACUCCUGACUACACUGACAGUUUUUAACAGUUUUUAAUACUUUACUGUUACAUUUAGUGACUAGACUGACAUUUUGACACCUUACUGUGACAUUUAGUGACUCCUGACUACA
Molecule: long non-coding RNA, 718 nt
Organism: Lates calcarifer (barramundi perch)
Lineage: Eukaryota; Metazoa; Chordata; Actinopteri; Centropomidae
Exons: 8
Source: RefSeq, a predicted model, not a curated record